Molecule: long non-coding RNA, 1062 nt
Filed under: Equus caballus (horse)
Lineage: Eukaryota; Metazoa; Chordata; Mammalia; Perissodactyla; Equidae
Description: lncRNA (ENSECAG00000048496.1)
Source: RNAcentral
CAGAGGGCAAGGAAAGCACACAACUGGCAGCAACAUACCUCAAGAUUUUCCUGACUCCUUGAAAUAACUUUACACUAUCCAAGGCUGGCACUUGGCACAGCCAAAGAGGCUCAUUGAUUGAACGAGCCUGAAUCUCCAGCUAGAUCUGGAUAACAAACCUCUUCUGUCUCCAGGCUGGACUUCCAACUUCUCUGAUUAUUUUCCAGGGCAUUCAUGGCACGUUGUAAGUCUUCAAUAAAUGCUUGAUGAAUGAAUGAAUGAAUGCUUUCGUAACAUCAUCAUCAUUUCCCAAACAUCAAGCUGAAAUUCAAUUGGCAGUUGAGUUAUCUCCAUUUAAAUCACUCUAAAGUUACUGAUCCCUGACACAAGAAAUGCACAGGAGAAUGGAGAGACACAUAGAUUUAAGGAAAAGAUGUCAACUGGGGAGGCGGAUAGUCAGGACUGCCAGUGUGUCAGUGCCUCCUGUCCCUGACUAUCCCCGGUACAGUCAUCACCCCCGACAAUGUGAAGGCAACUGCCCUACAACUCACAGAAGAAGAAGAAGAAGAAAGAAUGGCCAAUAAACGUGUGAAAAUAUAUCAAAUUCAUUAGUAAUCGGGCAAAUAAAACAUCAGUGACGUACCAUUUCAUAUCCAUCAGAUUGGCAAAAAUUUUGAAGUCUGAUGACACUAAGUAGGGGAAACAAGAACUUUCAGCCCCUGCUGGGGGACGUGUAAAUUAAUAGAACCACAUCAGAGAGCAACUUGUCAAUCUUGAAUGAAGUGGAAGAUUUAUGAUAUUCUAUGACCCAGAAAUUCUGCCUCUACGUAUAUCCCUAGAGAAACUCUCCCACAUGUAUUUCAAGGAUGUUAUUUGAAGUGUUGUGUUAUAAUAGGGAAAAAUUAGAAACAUAGGUGUACAUUAAUAAGAGAAUGGAUAAAUAAAUUCACAUAUAUUCAAACGAUGCCAUACUGUGUAGCAGUGAAGUCAAUAAACUUGAUAUAUCAACAUAGAUAGAUUCCAAAAACAAAAUGUUCAGCGAGAAAAGCAAGUUGGGGAUGAGAUGCCAUAUAGUAUGACAAC